This 71-nucleotide transfer RNA is filed under the name Mycobacterium kyorinense. Its description in RNAcentral is "tRNA-His". It matches the Rfam family "tRNA". From Rfam's summary of the family: Transfer RNA (tRNA) molecules are approximately 80 nucleotides in length. Their secondary structure includes four short double-helical elements and three loops (D, anti-codon, and T loops). Further hydrogen bonds mediate the characteristic L-shaped molecular structure. tRNAs have two regions of fundamental functional importance: the anti-codon, which is responsible for specific mRNA codon recognition, and the 3' end, to which the tRNAs corresponding amino acid is attached (by aminoacyl-tRNA synthetases). tRNAs cope with the degeneracy of the genetic code in two manners: having more than one tRNA (with a specific anti-codon) for a particular amino acid; and 'wobble' base-pairing, i.e. permitting non-standard base-pairing at the 3rd anti-codon position. The record is from RNAcentral. Lineage: Bacteria; Bacillati; Actinomycetota; Actinomycetes; Mycobacteriales; Mycobacteriaceae.
GCGGUCGUGGUGUAACGGCAACACAGCGGUCUGUGACUCCGCAAUCGAUGGGUUCAACUCCCCCGAUCUUA